GGAACGACUCUCGGCAACGGAUAUCUGCUCUCGCAUCGAUGAAGAACGCAGCGAAAUGCGAUACUUGGUGUGAAUUGCAGGAUCCCGCGAACCAUCGAGUCUUUGAACGCAAGUUGCGCCCGAAGCCUCCGGGCCGAGGGCACGUCUGCCUGGGYGUCACUC
RNAcentral lists this ribosomal RNA (162 nucleotides) under Euphorbia antso. RNAcentral's name for it is "5.8S ribosomal RNA". It matches the Rfam family "5.8S ribosomal RNA". From Rfam's summary of the family: 5.8S ribosomal RNA (5.8S rRNA) is a component of the large subunit of the eukaryotic ribosome. It is transcribed by RNA polymerase I as part of the 45S precursor that also contains 18S and 28S rRNA. Lineage: Eukaryota; Viridiplantae; Streptophyta; Magnoliopsida; Malpighiales; Euphorbiaceae. The record is from RNAcentral.